CAGUCGCCGCGGGAAAACCGAGGGGGGCAAGCGUUGUUCGGAAUUAUUGGGCGUAAAGGGUGCGUAGGCGGCUUGACAAGUCUUGUGUGAAAUCUAUGGGCUCAACCCAUAGUCUGCACGGGAAACUGUCGGACUUGAGAAUGGGAGAGGUGAGUGGAAUUUCCGGUGUAGCGGUGAAAUGCGUAGAUAUCGGAAGGAACACCUGUGGCGAAAGCGGCUCACUGGACCAUUUCUGACGCUGAUGCACGAAAGCUAGGGGAACAAACAGGAUUAGAUACCCCCGUAGUCCCUGUCUCUUAUU
Molecule: ribosomal RNA, 301 nt
Filed under: uncultured bacterium
Lineage: Bacteria
Description: partial 16S ribosomal RNA
Rfam family: Bacterial small subunit ribosomal RNA
Source: RNAcentral